This 459-nucleotide ribosomal RNA is filed under the name uncultured Streptococcus sp. Its description in RNAcentral is "partial 16S ribosomal RNA". It matches the Rfam family "Bacterial small subunit ribosomal RNA", at positions 341 to 792 of the family's 1533-position model. Lineage: Bacteria; Bacillati; Bacillota; Bacilli; Lactobacillales; Streptococcaceae. The record is from RNAcentral.
ACGGAAGGCAGCAGUAGGUAAUCUUCGGCAAUGGGGGCAACCCUGACCGAGCAACGCCGCGUGAGUGAAGAAGGUUUUCGGAUCGUAAAGCUCUGUUGUAAGAGAAGAACGUGUGUGAGAGUGGAAGGUUCACACAGUGACGGUAACUUACCAGAAAGGGACAGCUAACUACGUGCCAGCAGCCGCGGUAAUACGUAGGUCCCGAGCGUUGUCCGGAUUUAUUGGGCGUAAAGCGAGCGCAGGCGGUUUAAUAAGUCUGAAGUUAAAGGCAGUGGCUUAACCAUUGUUCGCUUUGGAAACUGUUAGACUUGAGUGCAGAAGGGGAGAGUGGAAUUCCAUGUGUAGCGGUGAAAUGCGUAGAUAUAUGGAGGAACACCGUUGGCGAAAGCGGCUCGCUGGUCUGUAACUGACGCUGAGGCUCGAAAGCGUGGGGAGCAAACAGGAUUAGAUACCCUGGUA